UUUGAAACCCUAACCUUAAACAUAUCAGCCGUUCACCAUCUACCUUCCCUCUCAAAUUCUUUAUCUCCUUCACUUUAUCCAUACACACCCAUAAACCACCUUAUUCUCUCAAAUCUCAGACAUAACAUAAACAAACACCCUGUCUCCUCUCUUGAAGUUGAUGAGUUGAGUUGUGUUGUUGGCUUCUGUGUCGAAGAUGGUGAUGAUGUUGAAGACGGCUCGGGUGUUGGUUCAGCCCGGGUCGCGUACCGUUCAGAUUCGGGUCGAGGGUGGUUCGAGCUUCGUAUUCUGAGUUUGUUUCGGGUUAUUGUACGAAACAACACAACAUGAAGGAGUUAUAGAAAGUAUUCCGUUGUUUGCUAGAGAACUGAUUGCCGGUGGUGUUGCUGGUGGAGUUGCCAAGACAACCGUUGCUCCUCUCGAGCGUCUCAAGAUCUUGUUUCUGGUUAUUUGCAAAUUGUGCAUAUAGUAUUUUGGGCGAAACUUGUGUUUUAAUGGAUUUUGAAACCACUCAAAUUAUAACAAUUAUUUAACUUUAGACAUGUUAUAAGAAUCCAGCACAUGUUAUAAGAAUCCAGGUUGACUUGUUUAACAAUUAACAUAUUCAAGGACCAAAAGGGGGGACAUAAGUGAAUGUUGGAGUUUCGUGUGUUAGAUAUUUUAGCGUAACGGGAUUAACUUGGUUAUCAAAGGGAAUUAUAAUACACAUCGAACAAGUUGGGAGGUGCGGGAGUGCACGCUUGUGUUCCGAAGCAUAUUUAUCAUUAUGCAUUUUUCAGCACGAAAAAGCAAGAAAAAGAAUAAACAGGUUUUGUCACAUUCUGUAGGAAACAAAGAUAAAUUCGUAGGAAAUGUGUGGGAAAAAUAA
Molecule: long non-coding RNA, 868 nt
Filed under: Helianthus annuus (common sunflower)
Lineage: Eukaryota; Viridiplantae; Streptophyta; Magnoliopsida; Asterales; Asteraceae
Description: hypothetical non coding rna
Source: RNAcentral